UGACCCCCUGGGUUCAUUCAGGGCUGGGCGUCGUGAGCAUUUUGCUCACCUCUGCCCUCUGGCCAUCGCAUUCCCCCGGGAUGCGGACUCCAGUCAAUAGGCGAAGCUGGAUCCUGGACUAGACUCUACGCUGCCGAAUAGCUGCUGUUACCGCACAGUUGCAGGCUCUUGGUGCCCCGAACAAAAAUUUGAACGAGUCACACAGAGAUAGCAAAGCAGCAAGUUUAUUAAGCACAGUAUUCCACUCUCGGAGGGGAGAGCGGACUGACCUCUGCGAGAUAAGAUCAGCCCCAGCUUGGUGUAGUUUGGGUCUUUUUUUUUUUUCCCCGACGUAGUCUCGCUGUGUUGCCCAGGCUGGAGUGCAAUGGUGCGGUCUCGGCUCACUGCAGCCUUCGCCUUCCGAGUAGCUGGGAUUACAGGCGCCCGCCACCACGCCCGGCUAAUUUUUGUAGUUUUUGUAGAGAUGAUGUUUCACCAUGUUAGCCAGGCUUUUCUUCUUUUCCCAAGGCUGCCUAAUCUGUAGCCAGUGUCUACCUUUUUGAAUGAUAGGUGUGUUGCUUAGUUACUUUGGCCCCUGUGCGCUUGAGGGCCGUCUUCAUUCCAUAAUUUUAAGUACCUGCAUGAUAUGCCGUCCAUAUGCAUGAGCGCUAAUGAGCUGGUUAUCCUUACGUUAAGGAUACUUUUUGUGUUUAAUGCGCAUGCUUAUGCCUAAAGAGCUGUUCCUUACUGGUUUGGUCCUGAUUUCCCUGGCCAUGGGAUUUUUACUCAGUUUUUAAUCUUCCUUUUGUUUUGUCUCCUCAGCUUCUGCCAUUUAUCUUGCUUCUUGCUCACCCGCCCCUUCACCUUGCUUCUGCUCUCUGGUUUUACUUAUUUUGCCCUUUAUCCAACGUUUAAUUCCCUUUGCUCUUCUUCUGCUUCAUUUUCUUUGUUCUCCUGCCUCACUGUCAGUCACCAACCUUAAAUGCCUGCAAGGUAACUGGAAACUUUGGACAAUUGCACAGUCUCCUGCAUCUAUAUCUUUGGGGAGCACUCCGUACCAGAUUCCAGGUUUGCGAGGGCUGGUGAGACAAGGGCCUUCCUUCCUCAAUUCAGUCAAUUUGUAAGCCAAAAAGUAUCUGAGACAGGUCUCAAUCAAUUGACAGGUUUAUGUAGACAAGGUUAAGGACAUGCCUGUAAUCCCAGCACUUUGGGAGGCCAAGGUGGGCAGAUCACGAGGUCAGGAGUUUGAGACUAGCCUGGCCAACAUGGUGAAACCCCGUCUCUACUUUAAAAAAAAAAAAAAAAAUUUAGCCAGGUGUGGUGGUGGGCACCUGUAAUCCCAGCUACUUGGGAGACUGAGGCAGGAGAAUCACUUGAACACUGGAGGCGGAGGUUGCAGUGAGCUGAGAUCGCGCCACUGCACUCCAUCCUGGGCAACAGAGCGAGGCUGUGUCUCAAUUCUUUUUUUUGAGACAGAGUCUUGCUCUGUUGCCCAGGCUGGAGUGCAGUGGAACAAACUCAGCUCACUGCAACCUCUGCCUCCCUUGUGCAAGCGAUUCUCUUGCCUCAGCCUCCUGAGUAGCUGGAAUUACAGGCACGCACCACCACACCUGGCUAUUUUUUGUAUUUUUAGUAAAGACAGGGUUUCACCAUGUUGUCCAGGCUGGUCUCGAACUGCUGACCUCAAGUGAUCCGCCCACCUCAACCUCCCAAAAUGCUGGGAUUACAGGCGUGAGCCACCAUGCCCGGCCUAUCAUUUGCUUUUGAAUGGCAGGAUCCAGAGACUAAAACCACCUUUUACUAUUGUUGAACUAUACUGCUACAAUGGUUUAAGAAUUCUCCAAUGCCGGAGACCAAGAUGGCUGCGAGGCUCAGCGCCUUCCUCAAGAAUGCCUGGGACAAGGAGCCAGUGCUGGUCGCGUCCUUUGUCAUCGGGGGCCUCGCUAUAAUUAUGCCCUCAUUCAGCCCCUACUUCAAGUACUCCAUCAUGAUCAAUGAGGCCACGCCCUACAACUACCCAGUGCCCGUCCGUGAUGAUGAGAACGUGCCGGACGUGCCCAGCCACCCCCAGGACCCUCAGGGCCCCAGCCUGGAGUGGCUGAAGAAACUGUGAGCACCUUCACUGACAGAGGCGGCCCCUCCCACGGCUCCCAAUAAAAAUGUGAAAACCAAAAAAAAAAAA
Macaca mulatta (Rhesus monkey) is the source of this 2161-nucleotide non-coding RNA. The record is from RefSeq and is a predicted model, not a curated record. Lineage: Eukaryota; Metazoa; Chordata; Mammalia; Primates; Cercopithecidae.